This is a long non-coding RNA of Mustela erminea (ermine), 76 nucleotides long. RefSeq lists it as uncharacterized. Lineage: Eukaryota; Metazoa; Chordata; Mammalia; Carnivora; Mustelidae. The record is from RefSeq and is a predicted model, not a curated record. The transcript is spliced from 3 exons.
ACACAUUCAGGAAGGCCCCCGGGGCAACGCUGCACACUAACACACUCAGGAAGGGCGGCUUCUGAGAACUCAAUAG